This 524-nucleotide ribosomal RNA is filed under the name uncultured bacterium. Its description in RNAcentral is "partial 16S ribosomal RNA". It matches the Rfam family "Bacterial small subunit ribosomal RNA", at positions 28 to 523 of the family's 1533-position model. The record is from RNAcentral.
GACGAACGCUGGCGGCGUGCCUAAUACAUGCAAGUCGAGCGCAGGAAACUGACGGAACUCUUCGGAGGGAAGGCAGUGGAAUGAGCGGCGGACGGGUGAGUAACACGUAAGGAACCUGCCUCAAGGAUUGGGAUAACUCCGAGAAAUCGGAGCUAAUACCGGAUAGUUCAACGGACCGCAUGGUCCGCCGAUGAAAGGCGCUCCGGCGUCACCUUGAGAUGGCCUUGCGGUGCAUUAGCUAGUGGGUGGGGUAACGGCCCACCAAGGCGACGAUGCAUAGCCGACCUGAGAGGGUGAUCGGCCACACUGGGACUGAGACACGGCCCAGACUCCUACGGGUGGCAGCAGUAGGGAAUCUUCCACAAUGGACGAAAGUCUGAUGGAGCAACGCCGCGUGAGUGAUGAAGGUUUUCGGAUCGUAAAACUCUGUUGUAAGGGAAGAACACGUACGAGAGGGAAUGCUCGUACCUUGACGGUACCUUACGAGAAAGCCACGGCUAACUACGUGCCAGCAGCCGCAGUAA